AGAGUUUGAUCCUGGCUCAGGAUGAACGCUGGCGGCGUGCCUAAUACAUGCAAGUCGAGCGAACGGACGAGAAGCUUGCUUCUCUGAUGUUAGCGGCGGACGGGUGAGUAACACGUGGAUAACCUACCUAUAAGACUGGGAUAACUUCGGGAAACCGGAGCUAAUACCGGAUAAUAUUUUGAACCGCAUGGUUCAAAAGUGAAAGACGGUCUUGCUGUCACUUAUAGAUGGAUCCGCGCUGCAUUAGCUAGUUGGUAAGGUAACGGCUUACCAAGGCAACGAUGCAUAGCCGACCUGAGAGGGUGAUCGGCCACACUGGAACUGAGACACGGUCCAGACUCCUACGGGAGGCAGCAGUAGGGAAUCUUCCGCAAUGGGCGAAAGCCUGACGGAGCAACGCCGCGUGAGUGAUGAAGGUCUUCGGAUCGUAAAACUCUGUUAUUAGGGAAGAACAUAUGUGUAAGUAACUGUGCACAUCUUGACGGUACCUAAUCAGAAAGCCACGGCUAACUACGUGCCAGCAGCCGCGGUAAUACGUAGGUGGCAAGCGUUAUCCGGAAUUAUUGGGCGUAAAGCGCGCGUAGGCGGUUUUUUAAGUCUGAUGUGAAAGCCCACGGCUCAACCGUGGAGGGUCAUUGGAAACUGGAAAACUUGAGUGCAGAAGAGGAAAGUGGAAUUCCAUGUGUAGCGGUGAAAUGCGCAGAGAUAUGGAGGAACACCAGUGGCGAAGGCGACUUUCUGGUCUGUAACUGACGCUGAUGUGCGAAAGCGUGGGGAUCAAACAGGAUUAGAUACCCUGGUAGUCCACGCCGUAAACGAUGAGUGCUAAGUGUUAGGGGGUUUCCGCCCCUUAGUGCUGCAGCUAACGCAUUAAGCACUCCGCCUGGGGAGUACGACCGCAAGGUUGAAACUCAAAGGAAUUGACGGGGACCCGCAGAAGCGGUGGAGCAUGUGGUUUAAUUCGAAGCAACGCGAAGAACCUUACCAAAUCUUGACAUCCUUUGACAACUCUAGAGAUAGAGCCUUCCCCUUCGGGGGACAAAGUGACAGGUGGUGCAUGGUUGUCGUCAGCUCGUGUCGUGAGAUGUUGGGUUAAGUCCCGCAACGAGCGCAACCCUUAAGCUUAGUUGCCAUCAUUAAGUUGGGCACUCUAAGUUGACUGCCGGUGACAAACCGGAGGAAGGUGGGGAUGACGUCAAAUCAUCAUGCCCCUUAUGAUUUGGGCUACACACGUGCUACAAUGGACAAUACAAAGGGCAGCGAAACCGCGAGGUCAAGCAAAUCCCAUAAAGUUGUUCUCAGUUCGGAUUGUAGUCUGCAACUCGACUACAUGAAGCUGGAAUCGCUAGUAAUCGUAGAUCAGCAUGCUACGGUGAAUACGUUCCCGGGUCUUGUACACACCGCCCGUCACACCACGAGAGUUUGUAACACCCGAAGCCGGUGGAGUAACCUUUUAGGAGCUAGCCGUCGAAGGUGGGACAAAUGAUUGGGGUGAAGUCGUAACAAGGUAGCCGUAUCGGAAGGUGCGGCUGGAUCACCU
Molecule: ribosomal RNA, 1540 nt
Filed under: Staphylococcus aureus VET0470R
Lineage: Bacteria; Bacillati; Bacillota; Bacilli; Caryophanales; Staphylococcaceae
Description: 16S ribosomal RNA
Rfam family: Bacterial small subunit ribosomal RNA
Source: RNAcentral